Daphnia magna is the source of this 429-nucleotide long non-coding RNA. RefSeq lists it as uncharacterized. Lineage: Eukaryota; Metazoa; Arthropoda; Branchiopoda; Diplostraca; Daphniidae. The transcript is spliced from 3 exons. The record is from RefSeq and is a predicted model, not a curated record.
CAUUGUGUCAUGCUCUCACCAUUCACCACUUUCUCUCACCAAAAGUUACAAAAGCAUGAUAUUGCGUAAUUUGAUGCCUAAGGGUCAUUGGCCAGGCAUACAUGUUCAUUUAUUGCGCGUGUAGAAUAAUACAAAGUAAUUGUACUGCGUGUAACGUGUUACUUUCACUUUUAGAUAACUUGGCCGACGCCUCUGACAAACUAACCAGUUAGUUUUUUGCUACGAUACAAAAAGGUGCACUACGUAAAUUCCGGUCUUAGGCUCAAAUCAUGGAUUUCCGUUUACCCGAACAGGAGUCAACGGAGGAGUACGCCAAAAACGAGAAGAACACGCUUUGAUUAAAGUGAUUAAAUCCCAUGCACAUAUAAGACCACCACGCCGUUUCAUUCCAACGAUUUCAUACAUGGCUCCAGGACCUUAUUAUUCAAU